Molecule: ribosomal RNA, 254 nt
Filed under: uncultured bacterium
Lineage: Bacteria
Description: partial 16S ribosomal RNA
Rfam family: Bacterial small subunit ribosomal RNA
Source: RNAcentral
UACGGAGGGUGCAAGCGUUUGUCCGGAUUUAUUGGGUUUAAAGGGUGCGUAGGCGGCCCUGUAAGUCAGUGGUGAAAGCCUCCAGCUCAACUGGAGAACUGCCAUUGAUACUGCAGGGCUUGAGUACAGACGAGGUUGGCGGAAUUGAUAGUGUAGCGGUGAAAUGCAUAGAUACUAUCAAGAACUCCGAUUGCGUAGGCAGCUAACUAGGCUGUAACUGACGCUGAGGCACGAAAGCGUGGGGAGCGAACAGG